This 435-nucleotide ribosomal RNA is filed under the name uncultured bacterium. Its description in RNAcentral is "partial 16S ribosomal RNA". It matches the Rfam family "Bacterial small subunit ribosomal RNA", at positions 29 to 507 of the family's 1533-position model. The record is from RNAcentral.
AGCGAACGCUGGCGGCAGGCUUAACACAUGCAAGUCGAGCGGGCAUCUUCGGAUGUCAGCGGCAGACGGGUGAGGAACACGUGGGAACGUACCCUUCGGUUCGGAACAACUCUGGGAAACUGGAGCUAAUACCGGAUACGCCCUUAUGGGGAAAGGUUUACUGCCGAAGGAUCGGCCCGCGUCUGAUUAGCUAGUUGGUGGGGUAACGGCCUACCAAGGCGACGAUCAGUAGCUGGUCUGAGAGGAUGAUCAGCCACACUGGGACUGAGACACGGCCCAGACUCCUACGGGAGGCAGCAGUGGGGAAUAUUGGACAAUGGGCGCAAGCCUGAUCCAGCCAUGCCGCGUGAGUGAUGAAGGCCUUAGGGUUGUAAAGCUCUUUUGUCCGGGACGAUAAUGACGGUACCGGAAGAAUAAGCCCCGGCUAACUUCGUG